GAUGAGUUCAAUGACCAUGACCCGUUUUGUCCUGCUCAGGAUGCUCUUCUUAGAGUUCAUGCGGCAAUUUCAAAUGCAGUUGCCUCUGUUGUUGAUUCUGACAAGAAACGGAAGGAUAAGGAGGAAUGCCAAAUUCUUGUUCCAUCUAGCCAGUCUGCAAAUAUCAUUGGUAAGGCUGGGAUGACCAUAAAGAAAUUGAGAAGUAAGACAAGGACAAAUAUCAAAGUUACUGCCAAGGAUGCCUCGGACCCAACUCAGUCAUGUGCUAUGGACUUUGACAACUUUAUUCUGAUAAGUGGUGAAUCAGAAGCUGUGAAGAAAGCAUUAUUUGCUGUUUCUGCAAUUAUGUAUAAAUUCAAUCCUAAAGAAGAAAUUCCUCUUGAGACAACUGUACCUGAAGCUCCUCCGAGCAUUAUCAUACCAUCAGAUGUCUCUAUUUAUCCACCAGGUGGAUUAUAUCCAAAUACAGAUCCAAUUGUCCCUUCUAGAUCUGUUCCACCAAUCCUAGGCUCCACACAUGUGCCUGAACUUCAGGGUUACGGGGAUACAGGGAGUUCAUGGCCUGUAUAUUCAUCCACCCUCCCUGUAGUUCCUAGUUUUGGCAGUGCCUCUCGCUCUGAGGAGUUAAUCAUACGAGUUUUGUGCCCUUUUGACAAGAUUGGUCGUGUAAUUGGCAAGGGAGGGGGUACUAUUAAAAGCAUAAGGCAGGCUAGCGGGGCUCGUGUCGAGGUUGAUGAUACCAAGGCUGACCGUGAUGAGUGUAUUAUUACAGUGACUGCAACAGAGUCGCCUGAUGAUUUGAAGUCCAUGGCAGUUGAAGCUGUUUUAUUGCUCCAAGGGAAGAUUAAUGAUGAAGAUGAUGAUACUGUUAGCAUUCGUCUCCUUGUUCCAUCUAAAGUUAUUGGGUGUAUUAUUGGGAAAAGUGGUUCAAUUGUAAAUGAAAUUCGGAAGAGAACCAAAGCUGAUGUGCGCAUAUCAAAAGGCGAGAAACCUAAGUGUGCUGAUUCCAAUGAUGAACUUGUUGAGGUUUUGGGAGAAGUUGGUAGUGUGAGAGAUGCACUUGUCCAGAUUGUUUUGAGGCUUAGAGAUGAUGUAUUGAAAGAAAAAGAUGGUAGUCAUAAUCCUUCAGUUGGCGCUGAUUCUUUAUAUUCGGGUGGCUCUGGUAUUCCAGUACCAUCUCUCUUACCUUCUGUUCCACCAGUUGCUCCAUUGGCGUAUGAUCAGAGGGCUGAAAGUGGAAGUGGCUUGGGCCUACUUUCAUCAAACAGCCUCUAUGGAUACGGAUCUCUGUCGAUGGGAGAAAAUGGCUAUGGUUCUAUGUCGUCAUAUUCAUCAUCUAAGCUCUAUGGAGGGUUGCCUCCACCCUCAACCUUAGAUAUGUUGGUGCCUGCUAAUGCUGUUGGAAAAGUUAUGGGUAAAGGAGGGGCAAAUAUAGCCAACAUUCGAAAGAUAUCUGGGGCAAUGAUAGAGAUCUCUGAUGCCAAGUCUGCCAGGGGUGAUCGUAUUGCUCAUAUAUCUGGCACACCAGAGCAGAAGCGUGCAGCAGAAAACUUGAUCCAAGCAUUUAUAAUGGCAACUUAAGUUUUGAGAAUACUUCUUGGUAUUUGAAGGUGAAUAGUUAAAACCUUGGAAUUUUCUUCAUCAAAAGUCAUCCUUAG
This 1658-nucleotide unclassified non-coding RNA is filed under the name Hevea brasiliensis (rubber tree). The record is from RNAcentral. Lineage: Eukaryota; Viridiplantae; Streptophyta; Magnoliopsida; Malpighiales; Euphorbiaceae.